This 253-nucleotide ribosomal RNA is filed under the name uncultured prokaryote. RNAcentral describes it as "partial 16S ribosomal RNA". It matches the Rfam family "Bacterial small subunit ribosomal RNA", at positions 525 to 777 of the family's 1533-position model. The record is from RNAcentral.
ACGAGAGGCCCAAACGUUAUUCGGAAUUACUGGGCUUAAAGAGUUCGUAGGCUGCGCGGAAAGUAGGGUGUGAAAUCCCUCGGCUCAACCGAGGAAUUGCGCUCUAAACUACCGUGCUAGAGGAACCUAGAGGUGAGCGGAACUGAUGGUGGAGCGGUGAAAUGCGUUGAUAUCAUCAGGAACACCGGAGGCGAAGGCGGCUCACUGGGGGUUUUCUGACGCUGAGGAACGAAAGCCAGGGGAGCGAACGGGA